This is a long non-coding RNA of Ictalurus punctatus (channel catfish), 1392 nucleotides long. The record is from Ensembl. NCBI's taxonomy places the organism in Eukaryota, Metazoa, Chordata, Actinopteri, Siluriformes, Ictaluridae.
CGUGACUAAACAGGCCCUGCUAUUCAAUCAGAAGCUGUUCCAUGUUAGGAAUUAAAACUUAAAGACUUCAAUUCAAUUCAAUUUUAUUUGUAUAGCGCUUUUUACAAUAGACAUCGUCUCAAAGCAGCUUUACAGAAAUAUCAACACUGGUAUACAGAUAUUAAAGGUGUGAAUUUAUCCCCACUGAGUGAGCCGGUGGUGACGGUGGCAAGGAAAAACUCCCUAAGAUGUUUUAAGAGGAAGAAACCUUGAGAGGAACCCGACUCAGAAGGGAACCCGUCCUCAUCUGGUUUUAGAUCUUCAAACGAAAUACAACAUGAAACAAAGGCAACCCUGUGAUGGACUGGCACCCUGUGAGGGUGUACCCCACCUUGUGCCCCACGAUCCAGGUUCCCUGUGACCCUGAAAAGGAUAAGCGGUAGAAGAUGGAUGGAUGGAUGGACAAAGGCGACCUGAAUGUUACGGGACCCCUGUCUUCCAACUUUCCACUCAUCAGUCCACUGAACAUUCUCCCAAAAGGUUUGAGGAUCAUCAAGGUGUGCUUUGGCAAAAUUCAGACGAGUCUUAAUGUUCUUCUGGGUUAGCAGUGGUUUUCACCUCACAGCUCUUCCAUGGUUGCCAUUUUCCCCCAGUGUCUUUCUGAUAGUGAACCUUUCAUGAACCUUUAUUGAUGCAAGAGCGGCCUGUAGGUCAUUUGAUGUUGUCCUUGGUUCUUUUGUGACUUCCUGGAUGAGUCGUCAAUUUUGGAAGGUCGGACACUACUGGGAAGGUUCAAUAUUGUGCAGAGUUUUUCCAUUUGGAGAUAACGGCUCUCACUGUGGUUCUUUGGAGUCCCAGAGCCUUUGAAAUAGCACUGUACUUUAUCCUGAGCUGCUGUCAACUAAUCCAUGAGCUGACUCUGUUUUUCUAGUUAAAUCUGACAAAAUAUGAUCAGUUAAACUGCACCGACCAGAGGUCUCCAAGCAUGUUCCUGCACAUCUACCUUCCUGAAGACGUUAGCUCUAACGAUAAUCAUACCCACCUGACCAUCUGCAGUAAUCGCUGCUUUAAGAAGUUCUCGAUCAACUAAAACAGGUGUGUUCGAUUUUGGUUGGAUAUGAAACCUGCAGGAAGGUCGAUCUCAAGGAAGAUAGUUGGUGAGCACUGGUCUAGACAGUAUAAGCACUAUCGCUUAUCUACACCACCAGAGGGCGACCUGUCUACACCACCAGAGAUAUCACCAGCGAUAUCUACACCACCAGAGGGCGAUCUAAUCCAGCAUCUGACUUUCUUCCUCUGCGUUCUGACUCACUUCCACCAAAACAAACCUGAACACGUGUUAAUGGUGUGUGAGAUGUUUAUCCACAAGGUGACGCUGUUGUAAAGGACCCUAACUUUCCCGUUAGUGUGAAU